CCUACGGGUGGCAGCAGUAGGGAAUAUUGCACAAUGGGGGAAACCCUGAAGCAGCAACGCCGCGUGGAGGAUGAAGGUUUUCGGAUUGUAAAGUUCUAUCGUCAGAGAAGAGAAUGACGGUAUCUAAAUAAUAAGCACCGGCUAACUCCGUGCCAGCAGCCGCGGUAAUACGGAGGGUGCAAGCGUUACGCGGCGUUACUGGGUGUAAAGAGCGCGUAGGCGGGAUAACAAGUCAGAUGUGAAAUGCUGUGGCUUAACCAUAGAACUGCAUUUGAAACUGUUCAUCUAGAGUGCGGGAGAGGUAAGUGGAAUUCUUAGUGUAGAGGUGAAAUGCGUAGAGAUUAGGAGGAAUACUCGUGGCGAAGGCGGCCUACUGGACCGUAACUGACGCUGAGGCGCGAAAGCGUGGGGAGCAAACAGGAUUAGAUACCCCUGUAGUC
RNAcentral lists this ribosomal RNA (440 nucleotides) under uncultured bacterium. RNAcentral describes it as "partial 16S ribosomal RNA". It matches the Rfam family "Bacterial small subunit ribosomal RNA", at positions 338 to 795 of the family's 1533-position model. The record is from RNAcentral.